Molecule: ribosomal RNA, 467 nt
Filed under: uncultured bacterium
Lineage: Bacteria
Description: partial 16S ribosomal RNA
Rfam family: Bacterial small subunit ribosomal RNA (bases 20-329)
Source: RNAcentral
GACGAACGCUGGCGGCGUGCUUAACACAUGCAAGUCGAACGGAAAGGCCCUGCUUUUGUGGGGUGCUCGAGUGGCGAACGGGUGAGUAACACGUGAGUAACCUGCCCUUGACUUUGGGAUAACUUCAGGAAACUGGGGCUAAUACCGGAUAGGAGCUCCUGCUGCAUGGUGGGGGUUGGAAAGUUUCGGCGGUUGGGGAUGGACUCGCGGCUUAUCAGCUUGUUGGUGGGGUAGUGGCUUACCAAGGCUUUGACGGGUAGCCGGCCUGAGAGGGUGACCGGGAGAUUGGGGCCAGAGUCACGGCCGAGGCACCUGGGGGGGGCAGGGGGGGGGGAUCGUGAGCAUGGGGCGGGGGCCGGGCGCGACAAAGGGGGGUGGGGGGGUCGGGCCUCCGGGUGGAAAACGGUUUUGCCGUGAGAAGAGGCGUGGGGGGGGGAAUGGGUAAAGAAAGCACGGCUAACUAAGGG